Molecule: long non-coding RNA, 356 nt
Organism: Neogale vison (American mink)
Lineage: Eukaryota; Metazoa; Chordata; Mammalia; Carnivora; Mustelidae
Exons: 3
Source: RefSeq, a predicted model, not a curated record
UCCAAAUAUGUGGAAUAGAAAUGGUUAUAUUGGAGGAUCCCCUACUGGCAUUGUAUUAUUUCUAUUCUUGAAAGAUCCACUAAUGGCAUUGAAUCAUUAGACACUUAGGCAUGUCAACUGAAAGAUGUAGUGGAAAUAGCCCAGCACUGAAGCACGAGGAGAUCCAGCUACUGGUUCCACAUCCAGUAUCAACUAGUUGCUCAACCUUGUUGGAAACAUAUCUACUACUUGGCUGACAGCUCUAAAGAUCUUAAACUCUACAGAGGACUCCAGUUCUUAAAAGACAAUGCAAGUUGGUACAGCCUCUUUGGAGAACAGUGUGGAGAUUCCUCAAGAAAUUAAAAAUAGAGCUUCCC